This is a long non-coding RNA of Myotis myotis, 2490 nucleotides long. RefSeq lists it as uncharacterized. The transcript has 2 exons. The record is from RefSeq and is a predicted model, not a curated record. Lineage: Eukaryota; Metazoa; Chordata; Mammalia; Chiroptera; Vespertilionidae.
CAUCAACAUCCCCUAGCUGUAGGCAACUACUAAUCUUUUUUUUUUUUUUUUAAUAAAUUUGCCUAUUUAGGACAUGAUAGGAAUGAAAUGUUACAAUAUGUGGCCUUUGUGACUGUCUUCUUUUAGUUAACAUAAUGGUUUCAAGAUUCAUUUAUCUUGUUGCAUGUGUCAGAUCUUCAUUCCUUUUGAUGGACAAAAAUAGUCCAUUUAUGAGUAUAUACCGCAUUAUGUUUAUCCAUUCAUCAUUUAAUGGACAUUUGAGUAGAUUCCACUUUUUGGCUAUUAAGGAUAAUGCUGGGCUAAACAUUUGUUUUGUUCCAAAUGCUUUGUGGGCUGAACAGUCUGGUUUUUCCCUGCCCCUGUACCCUGUUUGCUUGUUGAUUAAUCUGAAUAUACUAUUUUACAUGGUAAAACCCUAGAUAGUUGGUUUCAGUUUGGUUCCAUUUUGCUGGAUGUUUGAAAAAAAAUUUUUUUUAGAUAGAUUGUGUGAUCUGUUCAUUCCAACCUUUGUAUAUCUUGUCAAUUGGUUAAACCUCCCAUCUCUGUCUUCAUCCACAUCUUAGUUCAUAAUACGGUACAUGUUGGGGGUGUCUUCUCCAGCACAAGGCUUGUUACUAUGGGAGAGGCAGGGCCGUCUCCUCCCAGCCACUGCUCUGUGUACAAUCAGGAGACUAACACAUUUUUUAUGUUCAUAUGAAGUAUUUCAGGUUCUGAAAACAUCCUUUUAUUUCUGCCAGCACCAAGGUGGCCUGGUAUUACAGGGUUAUCCAUGCCAAUUUCUCAUCUCUGUUUAGGUCUGAAUUAGUUGUUUUGUGUUCCAAUGCAGAUCAGAAUUUGAAUUGUGGCUCUUGCACCGCUUACUCUCAGAUUGACCUUGGGCAAGUUAGCGGAAGCCUAACCUGGUUAAUUUUCUCAUGUGGAAAAUGGGGGUAAUAGAGGCACAGGCUUCACAAAGUUAUUGAGAGACUGAAGGAAGGGAUUCAUGCAGACUACUCAUCGAAUGCAGGGCAUGCACAGAUCAAGUGCAGCCCUUCCUGUGCCUUCCAAGCUCCUUUCCUGGAGGUACCCGUUUCCCAAGGAAAUGAAGCUGUGACGUUGCAGCACACAUCCGUGGAACGUUAGAUUUCUUUGGGUUUGACCAGGUUCCACACUGCCCUUCCUCAGCAGUGUAAUCCAGCAUUUUCGUGUGCACUUAUCAUCGUUGGCCAUUCACUGCAAGGACAGAUGUCAGUCACCGCUGAAACUGCUGGUCACCCUGCAGAGAAAACUUGUGCACAGGAACACAGCCCAGCCCUUUGAGGAUCUGCCUUCCUAGUGAUGGUGAUGAGGAUAGCCAUCUUAUCAUUCAAGUCUGUGGGUUCUUAGUUAUCCAGACUGGAGUCAUCUUGUUAAGAGAACUGUGUGUAAUCUCCACAUCAUAAUCAGAUUUCAGUUACCAUUCAGAGCUAUGACUCAGUCUUAUGGAACUUCAAGGACACAAUUUAAAGAAAACAUUCCUGUUGCCUUUUAAAAGGUUUUUUUUUUUUUUUUGUCUUUUGGUUUGUCAAACUUUUGGCCAUUAUUUUUAAGGUUGUGAUACCAAGUUGAUAUUUGAAGAUAUUCCACAGCCCAGCCCUUUGAGGCCUUAAAAAAAACAAAAAGACUGAGGGAAGACAGACAUCUUUAUUGCUAAUUCUCUUCAGAUGCUGUUAUGGAAAUGAUGUUUUCUGUAUUCAAGUUGAAGAAUAUUUAAGAAAUAUGCAGUGUUACACAGUGAGUGUAUGAAGCACACAGCUGUACGCUGCCGCUGAGAAAUGUGAUGCAUGAGAGUUGAAAAGCUGAGUCAAGGAAGCCAAGGGUGGGACUGCAUAUACCGUAAUCCUCAAUCACUGAAAGCCAGCGAAGUCUUACGGAAAUGGCCAUCGCCACGUACCCCGGAACAUGAGCGGGAAUGUGUAAUACAAGAUUUUUGUGGAAUGAGACUCAUGUUUGAAGGGCAGAGUGGGGAGUUCUGCGUAAAACUGCUGAGAAGCAGCCAAAACAGAGCUGAGGAAUGAUUGAGCCCUGGCCAGGAGAAGGGAAAUUUGGCACCUGAUUUAACAGGAUGCAAUAGUUAUCCAACCCUGGGAUGCAUCUGCAUUCUCAGGAGGAAGACCAUGAGCCUGGGCGUGAUGACUGAGUGAGGGAGAAGUUUUGUGUUGGAGGCCAUGUGUUUCUAACCAGCAGUGUCCUUUUCUGAGGAAUAAAUACUUCUGAGCACUAGUGUGAACAUUUAUUCAAAUUAAAUAAACAUUUCAUCAUCAAACGCACCAUCGAGUUUUAUUUGGAAAUUUAUUAGUGCAGUCAUUUCGACUGCUUUGUGUUGUUUUAACUCUUGAUUUGCAAAUGAGCAUCAUUGUCAGAUGUGAGCAUUUGGAAGGGGCUUUUACCGCUGGAUUUAUGGCUUGCUCUUCUUGUUUACUUUAUGUUGUAAACUAAUUUUAACUACCAAUAAAAGUUGUAGGAAUCCUA